AACGCAUAUUGCGCUCUUUGGUAUUCCGAAGAGCAUGCUUGUUUGAGUAUCAGUAAACACCUCAAAGACUUCAAUUUAUUUUGAAUUCUUUGGACUUGAGCAAUCCCAACACCAGUCUUUACGGAUCGGCGGAGGGUUGCUUGAAAUGCAGGUGCAGCUGGACAUUCUCCUGAGCUAUAAGCAUAUUUAUUUAAUCCCGUCAAACGGAUUAUUACUUUUGCUGCAGCUAACACAAAGGGAGUUUGACCGUAUUGGCUGACUGAUGCAGGAUUUCACAAGGGUCGGCAACGACUCUUGUAAAACUCGAUCUCAAAUCAAGUAAGACUACCCGCUGAACUUAA
Molecule: unclassified non-coding RNA, 341 nt
Filed under: uncultured fungus
Lineage: Eukaryota; Fungi
Description: partial contains 5.8S ribosomal RNA, internal transcribed spacer 2, and large subunit ribosomal RNA
Source: RNAcentral